Molecule: small RNA, 76 nt
Filed under: Flavobacterium sp. fv08
Lineage: Bacteria; Pseudomonadati; Bacteroidota; Flavobacteriia; Flavobacteriales; Flavobacteriaceae
Also listed under: 1 other name
Description: Flavo-1 RNA
Rfam family: Flavo-1 RNA
Source: RNAcentral
AUCUAGCCCCGAUGGAAGCGGUAUCCUUUUAUGGUGGGGUUCGCCAUAAAAGAUUUAGUGUACAGCGGGACUACUG